Molecule: long non-coding RNA, 953 nt
Organism: Capsicum annuum
Lineage: Eukaryota; Viridiplantae; Streptophyta; Magnoliopsida; Solanales; Solanaceae
Exons: 4
Source: RefSeq, a predicted model, not a curated record
ACGUAAUACUCAACCAAUCCUUCUUAUCCUAUUAUGUAAACUUCCCUUAAGAUUCUUUCCCUUCUUCUAUAAAUACAAUUCAAAUUCAACAUAUAUUCUCUUCAACUCUUAAAUUCCCUACAAUAUUCUAAUAUAUUCCAUAGAUUCCUUUACACACUAAUGUAAACAUUGUUUUCUUCUUAAACUUCUUCUAUUCUAUUGGUCUUUACCACAAUCUUCUUCUAUUCUGUUAAUCUUUACCACAAUCUACGUAUACCUACAUACUCUUUAUCAAAAAUGACAGAUUUCAUCAAUGACAUCACAAUCACAAAAAUGCACUGGAAGUUAAAAGUCUUGGUUGUUCGCCUGUGGGAAGUGAAUGGUCGAUUUAAUCCUAGUGCUUUGUACGCAAUUGAAAUGAUUCUGAAGGAUGAAUAUAUGAUGAAGAUUUGAUCAAGAAAUAUUCUCCUAAUGAAUCUGAUACCUCCCGUGACCAUCACUUUACCAAUUCUGAAGAAUCAUAUGCUGAGAAGGAUUACAAGGAAUCCACCAAAGACAGUGACAUGUUAACUUCUUGAAGACGUAUGCAAAGAGUAAUAGAUUUUCCAAGAAGGAUAAAUCUAUCAUAGUUGAUAAAAAUGUCCAUGGUCAACUCUCAAGCAACAAGAUCCACAAAGGCGCUAAAAAGAAAAACAAAUUGUCAUCAGCUGCCUCUAAAUGAAUUAUCUUACAAUGUUUCUGUAAUAUAAUACUUUAUAUUAAUCUAGCAGUUUGUUAGGGUUAGUGACAUAUAUCAUAAGUUAUUUAUAUCCUGUUAAGGUGAUACAUUUCAUACCUUUUUAUAUUACAUACAAAUAAGUGUUUUCUACAAUAUUCUAUGCUUUGUGAUCUUCAAACACAAGUUUCAAUCAUUUCUUACAUAAUAUAUAUGUCACACUGUCAAUGUGAAUAUACAAAAAUUAUGUAGGAAACAA